GUGAGUCAUCGAGUCUUUGAACGCACAUUGCGCCCGCUAGUAUUCUGGCGGGCAUGCCUGUCCGAGCGUCAUUUCAACCCUCAAGCCCUGGCUGCUUGGUGUUGGGGAGCUCUCUACGGCGCACUCCAGCGCUGCAGCCCCCGAAAUUUAGUGGCGGACCCGUCGCGGCCCCGAGCGCAGUAGCAGUCUUCUCGCUCCAGGGUGUCCGGCGGGCGUUCUCGCCGUAAAACCCCCGCUAACUAACGCAAGGUUGACCUCGGAUCAGGUAGGAUUACCCGCUGAACUUAAGCAUAUCAAUAAGCGGAGG
Molecule: ribosomal RNA, 307 nt
Filed under: uncultured fungus
Lineage: Eukaryota; Fungi
Description: eukaryotic LSU rRNA
Rfam family: 5.8S ribosomal RNA (bases 1-71)
Source: RNAcentral